CAGCCGCCGCGGUAACACGUAGGUGGCAAGCGUUGUCCGGAAUUAUUGGGCGUAAAGCGCGCGCAGGUGGUUUAAUAAGUCUGAUGUGAAAGCCCACGGCUCAACCGUGGAGGGUCAUUGGAAACUGUUAAACUUGAGUGCAGGAGAGAAAAGUGGAAUUCCUAGUGUAGCGGUGAAAUGCGUAGAGAUUAGGAGGAACACCAGUGGCGAAGGCGGCUUUUUGGCCUGUAACUGACACUGAGGCGCGAAAGCGUGGGGAGCAAACAGGAUUAGAUACCCCGGUAGUCCCUGUCUCUUAUAC
RNAcentral lists this ribosomal RNA (301 nucleotides) under uncultured bacterium. Its description in RNAcentral is "partial 16S ribosomal RNA". It matches the Rfam family "Bacterial small subunit ribosomal RNA", at positions 509 to 807 of the family's 1533-position model. The record is from RNAcentral.